This 232-nucleotide ribosomal RNA is filed under the name uncultured bacterium. Its description in RNAcentral is "partial 16S ribosomal RNA". It matches the Rfam family "Bacterial small subunit ribosomal RNA", at positions 118 to 347 of the family's 1533-position model. The record is from RNAcentral.
UGAGUAACCUGCCCUUAACUCUGGGAUAAGCCUGGGAAACUGGGUCUAAUACCGGAUAUGACUCCUCAUCGCAUGGUGGGGGGUGGAGAGCUUUUUGUGGUUUUGGAUGGACUCGCGGCCUAUCAGCUUGUUGGUGAGGUAAUGGCUCACCAAGGCGACGACGGGUAGCCGGCCUGAGAGGGUGACCGGCCACACUGGGACUGAGACACGGCCCAGACUCCUACGGGAGCAG